This 1212-nucleotide unclassified non-coding RNA is filed under the name Hevea brasiliensis (rubber tree). The record is from RNAcentral. Lineage: Eukaryota; Viridiplantae; Streptophyta; Magnoliopsida; Malpighiales; Euphorbiaceae.
ACGGUUCAGGAAUUUGCCAAAAGGUUAAAUCUUAACGAUUUUUCUCUAUAUUUCAAUCUAUAUUUUAUUAAUUGUGGGUGUUUUAAAUCCAUUUUCAUGUAAUUACUUUUAAUUGUUAUUGUUAACACUUUCUAUGUCCUAGCACUAAAGGGGUAAAAAGCUUUCCUGCUAAGGCCAUUGACAUUGUAUCACUUAAAGACUUAGAACACAAUAAAAGCACUGCUAAAAGGUUUUCGAAAUACCCAAAAAACAAAUUAAGAACCCCCUUCAGAAAAAAUUAGUAGCAUAAGUAGUCUAAAUAAAAUAAAAGUCCCCAAAAGCUAGCUAGCCCCAAAGACACGAUUCCCUCUAGAAAAGAUUAUUUGACAUCACUAAUUAGUCCUUUGCUUCAGUAGCUGCUUCAGUAGCUCCUUCAUCGAAGAGCCACUCCUUAGUCCUCCUCCUAGCCGUUUUGUUGAAAGAAUUCUGAGUAGUUGAUGGUAAGUUAGGUCUAUUUCUCAUCCACCCUUUAAACAUGUUAGCUAUGUUUUUAGUGCUUGAUGCAUAGUGGAUGCUAGUUUUGCACAAGAGUGGUCUGCACCAGAGUGUUUCGACUCAAUUAUUAAGCUGCUUUGUUUCUUUGGGGACAUGGCCUCAUGUAGAACUUGGCUGGCUGUGUGGAUGUCAGUUUGAAGCCUUCUCUCCCAUUGACUGUCUGUGAAACUGUUGAUUAUAACUCAUCCUUAGAGUGAGCUUAAUGGCCUGUAGUUUGGAGCUUUAUGAGCUCCUUCUUCAAAUGGGUAUCCAAUAGUUCUUAAUGCCAUUAUUUGUUCUGUGUGGAAGGUAUGCAGCCAUGGCUGCCUAUCUACAAGACUGCAACGCUAUCAAUUAAUGCUUCCCCAUUAAUUUCUUUUCAGGAACCAACUCAAUCCAGCCCAACAUAAACAAUGGUACUUAGGUCAUUUCAGUGUCACUAUAAUAUUGAUUUUAUUGCAUUAAUUUCUACUAGUAUGAUUGGAUAAGAAAGGGUAAAUACAUAUGAUUGAAAAAGCAAAAUAAAGGUACAUUUAUAAAGCAACAAAAUAAAGGUACAUUGAUAUGUUGACUUUUACUUGUUGUCUAAAAGGGCUUGAAGGUGGAUUAUCUUCUCCUCAUGGUCUGUAAAAUUGCCACGCUUAGUAACUGGCCUGAGACAAUUAGUCCAUCUAAACCUGCAACUCUUACUGCAUCUAA